Molecule: regulatory RNA element, 50 nt
Organism: Gallionella sp.
Lineage: Bacteria; Pseudomonadati; Pseudomonadota; Betaproteobacteria; Nitrosomonadales; Gallionellaceae
Rfam family: chrB-b RNA
Source: Rfam
CGGGGAUAGCAGCAUCCCCGCCUCAAGACAACACAUCGUCCAAGGUCUGC